Long non-coding RNA from Brienomyrus brachyistius, 226 nucleotides. RefSeq lists it as uncharacterized. NCBI's taxonomy places the organism in Eukaryota, Metazoa, Chordata, Actinopteri, Osteoglossiformes, Mormyridae. The transcript is spliced from 3 exons. The record is from RefSeq and is a predicted model, not a curated record.
GGGAGAUACAGAUAAUGACAAUGAGACACAAGCAGAGAUGGAGAGAGAGACAGGCAGGGAGGUAGAGAGACAGGCAGGGAGGUAGAGAGACAGGCAGGGAGGUAGAGAGACAGGCAGGGAGGUAGAGAGACAGGCAGGGAGGUAGAGAGACAGCGCAUUGCCGCACCCACCACACGAUGAAACACCUCGGAGUCCCGGUUGGCAACCCUCCAGGUGAACACAUGGU